AUCCAUAUCUGGGGUUUUCCCGCCGACGUUCCAUGUCGCUGCAAAUACCCUGUUAGACGCAGACAACGGAACAGACAAAAUAUUAUUUGAAUUUGAGCUUCACACAAAAAACACAAGGUUAUUUGUGGCAUGCAUUGUGGUGAGUUGACACCGCUCAAUUUUAGGCUUGUACUUUUGGAGAAGGAUGAGGAUGAUCCUGAUGGCGAAGCCACCAAUGACGGCUCUGGACUCUCUUGGAAAUCUAGUGCAAACAAGAACAAACUUUAGAAUUUGCAUAAAUAAGUUAGCAACUUUUUGCAGAUUUUAGUGUUAACUCAGACAUGAAUUUUUCAAUGGCAACCAUUUCAUCGAUGGAAUGGAGAGAAAGAGAGAGAAGCACUUUUUGCUG
Long non-coding RNA from Brachypodium distachyon (stiff brome), 388 nucleotides. RefSeq lists it as uncharacterized. NCBI's taxonomy places the organism in Eukaryota, Viridiplantae, Streptophyta, Magnoliopsida, Poales, Poaceae. The record is from RefSeq and is a predicted model, not a curated record. The transcript has 2 exons.